This 253-nucleotide ribosomal RNA is filed under the name uncultured bacterium. Its description in RNAcentral is "partial 16S ribosomal RNA". It matches the Rfam family "Bacterial small subunit ribosomal RNA", at positions 524 to 776 of the family's 1533-position model. The record is from RNAcentral.
UACGUAGGUGGCGAGCGUUGUCCGGAUUUACUGGGUGUAAAGGGCGUGUAGGCGGCGAAACAAGUCAGAUGUGAAAGCCCGGGGCUUAACUCCGGAACUGCAUUUGAAACUGUUUUUCUUGAGUGCUGGAGAGGAGGGUGGAAUUCCCGGUGUAGCGGUGAAAUGCGUAGAUAUUGGGAGGAACAUCAGUGGCGAAGGCGGCCCUCUGGUCCGUUACUGACACUCAAGUGCGACAGCGUGGGGAGCAAACAGG